Molecule: non-coding RNA, 2672 nt
Organism: Oncorhynchus tshawytscha (Chinook salmon)
Lineage: Eukaryota; Metazoa; Chordata; Actinopteri; Salmoniformes; Salmonidae
Source: the annotation of a RefSeq genome assembly
GGGGAGGCCGACGGUCGGUUGAGGGGGAGAAAGAGGCCGACGGUCGGUUGAGGGGGAGAAAGAGGCCGACGGUCGGUUGAGGGGGAGAAAGAGGCCGACGGUCGGUUGAGGCCGGGGGAGAAAGAGGCCGACGGUCGGUUGAGGGGGAGAAAGAGACGGUCGGUUGAGGGGGAGAAAGAGGCCGACGGUCGGUUGAGGGGGAGAAAGAGGCCGACGGUCGGUUGAGGGGGAGAAAGAGGCCGACGGUAGGUUAAAGAGAACCUACGAGAUAAUCUGCAUAUGCAUUUAUAAUGACAUGCCCUGUUUGGCACUGAUUUGUUAAGUUCUAUUUGAUAUUUGUAUGGAAGCAUAGAGACUGUCGGUGCCAGAAUUUUAUGUUACUAGAAAUAUUUGUUUUUGAAAUAAAAGACUACUCGCUUUUAUUGGUUUGUGUUCUUUCAGGUUAGUUUAGUAUGCUGAGAAUUUAGAAUGUGGUUCCUCAGUCAGCCCCACACAGUAUGCAGGCGAUGAUUUCUCAAUACUAUUUCUAUUGCGCCAAUCACAAUAUUCACUGUUACGUAAUGAUGUCCAUAUUUGGUAACUUAUGAGCUUUCCUGUGACUCAAUUGGAGCAUUGGAACGCACUUGACUGAGAUCUGUGUCAAAGUUUACUUUCAGAAUUGCUCUCCAGUCUCAAUGCACUUGUCACAGUAAAAAAAACAAAGUGAUUACCAAUGAAUAGUAGCUGGGAUAUUAAAAAUGUCACUACGAUUCUGCUCAUUAUUUUGCAUUGUAAAGGUGCAAAGGCCCAGUCUACAAAGAAGAUCGCCAUCUUAGCUGGCACGGAUGUUACCUUAAACUGCUCUUUUAAGAAGCCUGAACAUGUACCGCUGAAGAAAAUCACGGUUGAGUGGGGGAUGAUGGUGGAUAAAGAGACCAUAAAGCACCUAGUGUAUACAUUCCAGAACGAGAGUGCCAAGGUGCAUCGUGAAGGGUCUCGAGUCGACCAAACGGGGUUGCUUCAGGGCAAUGCAUCCCUUCGUUUGUUCAACAUGACCGUGGCUGAUGAGGGACUCUACCGCUGCAGAGUGAUCAUCACUCCCAACACAUACAAAGUUUCCUCACAGCUGGAAGUAUCAGCCAGACCCUCAGUGUCCCUCCCAGAGACCGCCAUGGUGAUGGAGGGGGAGGAACGGACAUUGAUGUGUGACAUCACAGGAUUCUACCCAGAGAAUCUGUCUGUGACCUGGCUGAUCCAAAAUGGCUCCCGGGUGGCCCGUGGGAGCAUGGCUCGCGGGGCCAUCUCGCGUGAUGUGUGCACUGGAAUGGCUGUGCCCAAUCCAGACGGCACCUACAGUGUCAGCAGUCACAUCACUGUCCAGGCUUCAGCCGUAGGGAGCGGAGGAGCCAUGUACAUCUGUCACAUUGAACAUAGGUCCUACCCUGAUGGAAAAUACAGCAAAAGCAUCUUGUUGACCGUGCAAGAUCCAGGGUUUAAUGCUGUAAUGCUGAUGGUGGUUACUAGUCUUGUUAGUGUUCUUCUGGUCUUCUCUGUCAUCGGUGGUGCAAUGGUCUUCUACAGGUAUUUUUACACAGUUCCUCCCAGCAUCUCUGACAUCAUCAAACCCACCAUCGUUUAUGCCAUGAAGCCGACCAACUUAAAAUGCACCAUUAAAAGAGUACGACUGAGAGAGCUCAAAGUGAAAUGGUACAAGAUAACAGCCAACAGGGACUGUAACGCAGCUUCCAAUAGCCAAUCAAAGGCACUGUUGAGCCACAAGGACCUGAGUGACCAGGCUAACAUCCACUCUGAGAGCACGCAUCACGUGUCUACCCUGUCCAUCUGUCUGUCAGUUAGGGAGGACCAGGCUAAGUACCUAUGUGUUGUGCUGUACAGAGGCAAGAAGAUCACCAGAGAGACCACUGUGAGUGUAAAAGUGACUCCAUCGUUCUUUCACAUCUCCAGCAUGCCUCAGAUCCCAGAGGUAAAGAGGUUGCUGGUGCUCUGCUGUCGGGUCGAGAAGUUCUACCCGGACGACCUCCAUCUUGAGUGGUCGAGAAAUGACGGGGAGCAGGUGAGGACAGCCACUAACUAUGGACCGUUCUCUGACCACGAGCAGAUAUACAGCAUGUGGAGUAAGAUCGAACUGACAAUAGCUCAGGAAGACGAGAAGGUGGUCUACACAUGUCGCUUGUAUCACUCCAGUUUCCCCGGGCCAGGAUACAAAGACGUUCUCUAUCAUAUUAACACACAAGGUACUCCUCCAAGUGUGAUGUUUAUCAAGUGUGAGCCACUACUCCCUCUGCUGGAUGAGGAGUGCACACUCAACCUCUGUGUCAAAGACUUCUGUCCUGAACAAGUGUCUGUCACAUGGUUUAAGGACGGACAGACGGUCCCCAACAGCCAGUUCUUCAACUCCCCACCCAGCCUCAACAUCAAUGGCCUCUACUCUAUGUGGAGCUUCCUCAAACUGAGCCACACCUCGGAGGACUACGGCUCAGAGUUCAGGUGCCGGGUGGUCCACAGUGCCCAGAAGGAACCGGAGGAGAGGGUGUUCACACAUCAGAUCUCAUAGUCACCUAGUCAAGGGAAGUCAGACCUUUGAUCAAAUACUGUGUUUGCACUUUUGGGACUUUUCUAUUGGUUCCAUUACAACAGGAAAGCUCAAUAAAGGACGGCUCAAGUAUUUGAAA